RNAcentral lists this ribosomal RNA (49 nucleotides) under Pseudomonas simiae. The record is from RNAcentral. Lineage: Bacteria; Pseudomonadati; Pseudomonadota; Gammaproteobacteria; Pseudomonadales; Pseudomonadaceae.
GCAUUGGAACCACCUGAUCCCAUCCCGAACUCAGCAGUGAAACGAUGCA